This 327-nucleotide ribosomal RNA is filed under the name Escherichia coli. RNAcentral's name for it is "bacterial SSU rRNA". It matches the Rfam family "Bacterial small subunit ribosomal RNA", at positions 1 to 324 of the family's 1533-position model. Lineage: Bacteria; Pseudomonadati; Pseudomonadota; Gammaproteobacteria; Enterobacterales; Enterobacteriaceae. The record is from RNAcentral.
AAAUUGAAGAGUUUGAUCAUGGCUCAGAUUGAACGCUGGCGGCAGGCCUAACACAUGCAAGUCGAACGGUAACAGAAAGAAGCUUGCUUCUUUGCUGACGAGUGGCGGACGGGUGAGUAAUGUCUGGGAAACUGCCUGAUGGAGGGGGAUAACUACUGGAAACGGUAGCUAAUACCGCAUAACGUCGCAAGACCAAAGAGGGGGACCUUCGGGCCUCUUGCCAUCGGAUGUGCCCAGAUGGGAUUAGCUUGUUGGUGGGGUAACGGCUCACCAAGGCGACGAUCCCUAGCUGGUCUGAGAGGAUGACCAGCCACACUGGAACUGAGA